UUCAGUUUAGUUUUUAUUAUUAAAAAGUUAAUUGCCUUCGCCUCGUAGAGCGCUCAGUAUGGCGAACACCGGAAAAACUGAAAGCAACGAAGACCCAACUGAGCGUUUGAUGUGCCCAAUUUGUCGGCUAUAGUUGGUCUUAUAUAGCAUACGCCGCAGCGCUGGGACAAUCAAAAUACAAAAAGGAUUUAAUGGCAUCACAAUGGACCUUUUUCUCCUAAGUGUAGGGAGGCGUAUUACGCCGCAGCCAUAUCUAACUAACCUACCUAGUAUAUAGUAUUAUAAUAUUAAAUAUUAUUAAAAUAUUAUGCGUAUUAAAA
This is a long non-coding RNA of Scaptodrosophila lebanonensis, 320 nucleotides long. RefSeq lists it as uncharacterized. The record is from RefSeq and is a predicted model, not a curated record. The transcript has 2 exons. Lineage: Eukaryota; Metazoa; Arthropoda; Insecta; Diptera; Drosophilidae.